AUACGGAGGAUGCAAGCGUUAUCCGGAUUUAUUGGGUUUAAAGGGUGCGUAGGCGGUUUGCUAAGCGGGAGGUGAAAUGCCGGCGCUCAACGUCGGAAGUGCCUCCCGAACUGGUGGACUUGAAUGACUCUGCCGUGGGAGGAAUGUGUAGUGUAGCGGUGAAAUGCUUAGAGAUUACACAGAACACCGAUUGCGAAGGCAUCUCACGAAGGGUUGAUUGACGCUGAGGCACGAAAGCGUGGGGAUCAAACAGGAUUAGAUACCCUGGUAGUCCACGCAGUAAACGAUGAUGGCUAACCGCUGGGCUUAUCAGUUCAGUGGCCAAGCGAAAGCGAUAAGCCAUCCACCUGGGGAGUACGACCGCAAGGUUGAAACUUAAAGGAAUUGGCGGGG
Molecule: ribosomal RNA, 393 nt
Filed under: uncultured bacterium
Lineage: Bacteria
Description: partial 16S ribosomal RNA
Rfam family: Bacterial small subunit ribosomal RNA
Source: RNAcentral